CUGUCCCGUGUCCCCAGCGGGUGCUCACGGCCGAUUUCUGCGAGGGCUGCAAGAUCACCAACGUCGAGGGGAUUCAGGAGCUGGGCCUGGGGCUCCGAGAUACGGCAGAGAAGCUGAUCCAGGUGUUCGCUGAGCAGAUUUUCUACACCGGGUUCAUCCACGCGGAUCCGCACCCCGGGAACGUGCUGGUGCAGCGAGGCCCCGAUGGGAAAGCGCAGCUGGUGCUGCUGGACCACGGCCUGUACGA
Non-coding RNA from Sturnus vulgaris (Common starling), 247 nucleotides. The record is from RefSeq and is a predicted model, not a curated record. NCBI's taxonomy places the organism in Eukaryota, Metazoa, Chordata, Aves, Passeriformes, Sturnidae.